This 253-nucleotide ribosomal RNA is filed under the name uncultured bacterium. RNAcentral describes it as "partial 16S ribosomal RNA". It matches the Rfam family "Bacterial small subunit ribosomal RNA", at positions 524 to 776 of the family's 1533-position model. The record is from RNAcentral.
UACGUAGGGAGCAAGCGUUACUCGGAAUCAUUGGGCGUAAAGGGCGCGUAGGCGGUUCGGCAAGUCUCAUGUGAAAGCCCACAGCCUAACUGUGGAAGUGCAUGAGAUACUGUCGAAUUUGAGUUCAGGAGAGGAAGGCAGAAUUCCCGGUGUAGCGGUGAAAUGCGUAGAUAUCUGGAGGAACACCGGUGGCGAAGGCGGCAUCCUGGACCGGUAUUGACGCUGAGGCGCGAAAGCCAGGGGAGCAAACGGG